This 394-nucleotide unclassified non-coding RNA is filed under the name soil metagenome. RNAcentral describes it as "partial contains 5.8S ribosomal RNA, internal transcribed spacer 2, and large subunit ribosomal RNA". The stretch from base 1 to 122 matches the Rfam family "5.8S ribosomal RNA", at positions 35 to 154 of the family's 154-position model. The record is from RNAcentral.
GAUGAAGAACGUAGCGAAAUGCGAUACUUGGUGUGAAUUGCAGAAUCCCGUGAACCAUCGAGUCUUUGAACGCAAGUUGCGCCCGAAGCCACUAGGCCGAGGGCACGCCUGCCUGGGCGUCACACGUCGUUGCCCCCCCCCCCAUCUACUCCUUCGGGAUUGCGGGGGGCGGAUGAUGGCCUCCCGUGCGCCAAGCCGCGCGGUUGGCAUAAAUACCAAGUCCUCGGCGACGCACGCCACGACAAUCGGUGGUUGCGAAACCUCGGUUGCCCGUCGUGUGCGUUCGUCGCGCAUCGAGGGCUCGAAAAAAUGCUCGGCUCCGGCUCGGCUUUCAACGCGACCCCAGGUCAGGCGGGGUUACCCGCUGAAUUUAAGCAUAUCGAUAAGCGGAGGA